CGAACCGCAGGCUUGGGAGAGCCGUGGGGUUCGAAAACGAUCCGGCGGCGGCCUGGGAGGGCCUUCACGCGGGUCCUCAAGGGGAGAACCACCGAUGGAGAAUACGCUCCUCAUCGGACUGUCGCGGCAGAUGAUGCUCG
This 140-nucleotide non-coding RNA is filed under the name Nitrobacter hamburgensis X14. Its description in RNAcentral is "flg-Rhizobiales RNA". It matches the Rfam family "flg-Rhizobiales RNA". The record is from RNAcentral. Lineage: Bacteria; Pseudomonadati; Pseudomonadota; Alphaproteobacteria; Hyphomicrobiales; Nitrobacteraceae.